Molecule: long non-coding RNA, 1427 nt
Filed under: Serinus canaria (Common canary)
Lineage: Eukaryota; Metazoa; Chordata; Aves; Passeriformes; Fringillidae
Description: lncRNA (ENSSCAG00000001747.1)
Source: RNAcentral
CAACCCAACCAGGGUCAACCAAACCAAACCCAACCCAACGAAAAGUCAACUAAGGUCAACCCAACCCAACCCAACCCAAAGGUUAACCAAGGUCAACCAAACCCAACCCAACCCAAGAUCAACCCAACUCAAAGGUCAACCCAAGUCAACCCAACCAACAUCAACCCAACCCAACCCAACUCAAAGUCAACCCAACCCAACCCAGCCCAAGGUCAACCCAACCCAACCCAACUCAAAGUCAACCCAACCCAAGGUCAACCCAACCUGACCCAAAGUCAACCAAACUCAACCCAACCCAAUCCAAGGUCAACCAAACCCAAACCCAACCCAAGGUCAAUCCAACCCAACUCAAAGUCAACCCAACCCAACUCAAAGUCAAUCCAACCCAACUCAAGAUCAACCCAACCAAAAGUCAACCAAGGUCAACUCAACCCAACCCAACCCAACUCAGUCAACCAAACCCAACCCAACCCAACCAAAGGUCAACCAAGGCCAACCCAACCCAACCCAACUCAAAGUCAACCCAACCCAAGGUCAACCCAACCUGACCCAAGGUCAACGAAACCCAACUCAAGGUCAGCCAAGAUCAACCCAGUCCAAGCCAAAGCUCAACCAAACUCAACCCCACCCAACCCAAGGUUCACCCAACUCAAUCUGAAGUCUGUCAAGGUCAACCCAAAUCAAAGUCAGCCAAGGUCAACCCAACCCAAGGUCAACCAAGGUCAAGCCAACCCAACUCAAAGUCAACCCAACUCAAGUCAAGGUCAACCAAAUCUAACUCAAGGUCAGCCAAGGUCAACUCAACCCAACCCAACCCAACUGAAGAUCAACUCAACCCAACAUCAACCAAGGUCAACCCAACACAAAGUCAACCCAACUCAAGGUCAACCAAGAUCAACCCAACCCAACCCAAGAUCAACUCAACCCAACUCAUGGUCAACCAAGAUCAACCCAACCCAACCCAAGAUCAACUCAACCCAACUCAUGGUCAACCAAGAUCAACCCAACCCAACCCAAGAUCAACUCAACCCAACUCAUGGUCAACCCAAGUCAAUGAAAAGCCAAACUCAACUCAAGGUCAACUCAACCCAACCCUUGGUCAACCCAACCAAUGGUCAGGUCAAGACCAACCAAUGGUCAACCAAGACCCAGCCAACGGUCAACUCAACCCAUGGUCAACGCAAGACCAAUCUAUGUCAAUCCAGUCAAAACCAAUCCAUGGCCAAGACCAACCCAAAGACCAACGCAAGGCCAAGACCAACCCAAAGUCGAGACCAACCCAAAGUCAACACCAACCCAAAGACCAACCCAAGACCAACCCAAGGCCAAGACCAACCCCACCCAAGGUCAAGUGAGGUCACCCAAAGGUCAACCCAAGACCCUCCAAGGGUCACCGAGGUCAACGUCAAUCACCCAACGCUCAACCC